UCCCCCCUUUUCCAAGAAUGCUGCGAGUUCAAAUGGAAAAUAUCAAAUUGGUCGUCUUAUCCAGGAAUCGCUUCUUCGAGGAGAGGGAAGGUGAAAUUGCUUGCACGUGGCAAAAAACUUUCCUCCUUUACAUAGAUGUUAAAAUUACAGUGUUCCAAGAAUAAUCUCUGAACAAGACGGGGUUUUGUUCUGUUAAUUGUGGCUGGAAGGAAACUUUUUUUUUUUUUUUUUUUUUUAAUGGAAAUACAGCACACACAUAUUUCAAUUCAGGUUAUUAAACUGUGUUAAGUAUUAAAGUUGAUUGCCUUUCUUUUCACUAACUCAUUGUGCUUUUUUAUCCAAAGAAAUAUUAGAAGACUAAAACCUCUCAAAUAGGAGGUAUUAAUCUCAUUCCCAAAAUUAGAAAGCAUGCAGUGUUGAGAGACUGGAUGUCAAAAUUACAUGUUCGUAGCACUUAUGCGGUGGGAAUCUAGGAACCAACCACUUUUAAAAUGGGAGCUAAAGUAAAUGGAGACUCCUCUGAGAGAAGCAAUCAAAACUUGGUCUUCUUGUCCUUACUGGAUUAAGGGGCACCCUUUCAGAUAAAAACAUGGACCUGAUUGGCAUCAUCCUGUAUCCAUGGAAACAUUUUAAGUACCUCUCUCUCAAUAUGUACUUCUCUUAUUCAGGGUUUAAAAGCUGAGUACCAAAUAACUAACACUGGAUUUUUUUUUAUCCUCUAAGAGCUCCAUAAGACUGGCAUUAUCCUGUAGUAGUGUCACAGCCUGCAGUCAUUUAAUGCCUCUUCUUGUGGGGCCAGGAUUCCACGCCCAAGUGCAUUUAGUAGAUUUGUGUUUGUUGUUAAUUCAAGACCUUGUGCCCUCACUUAAGAUUUCAGAUCUUCAGGAGACUUCAAAAAAAACUAUCGAGAAUCAGACUUAACACUGCUGAUUUGGAAGACAUAAUGCACACGCUGUCUUAGUGCCUGAUGUAAACCUGACUAAAGCAAAUGGUCAGACACAGUUUGCGAAGUCAAGAACUAAAACCUAAUGGCCUAGUUCUUCAAACACAUGUGUCAGCAAGAGUAGUUCCAGUGGACUAGGAGCACUGCUUCCUUCAGUUACUUUACUGAAGAAAAUAAGCAUGUUCAGGACUGACCUCGGCAUUUAGUUCUUGCAAUCCCCAGUAUAAAAAACAAUUUAAUGUGCUUUUUUGAUUUAAUUAUGGAAAUGAGAUUGGACAGUCUUCAUCUGGCACAAAAAGAGUGGCAAGAUUCCUUGUUUCUCCUGAUCUCUGCUCAUAAAUCGUGAACCAGAUCCUCAAAAGUGAGGUUGUCUUCAGAAUAAAAUAACAAAAACAAGAACAAAAUGAAAAACAACCACCACCAAACAAAAAAGAGAGAAACCCUACCACAUGACUCUGCAGAGGGCUCAAGUAAUAUUAUACAACCACAUAAUCAGGUGCCUUUCAGGAGUUAUUCACAGGACGUUCCUGUCUCAGUGCUUACCUCAAUUGGAUGCUCCAGAGUCACAUAGGUUUACGUUUCAUGAAAGAACAUGGAAGAGGAAAGAAAUGACAGUAAGACUGAAUUAUGAACUCUCAAAAGCUGAGAACAAGAACUGAUUGUAUUGUGGAAGCUGAAUUCACUGCUCUUGAUUAAUACUGGGCAAUGGUGAUCACAUGCUUAAGAUUGCCGAAGCAAAUCUAGCUGGUGUAUUACUCAUGCAGAAGAGACAAAAAGAAAAUAUUUUUUCCCGUUUUCAAUUAAAUGUUUUAAGAGCACCACAAACACCAUUUAAAAGGUCUGUCAUUUGCUUGAAAACUGAUGCCAGGAGUUCUUCACCAUAACUGAAAGCUCCUUUCUACCCUUGGACAGAGGUCAUGGUCCUUCAGACUCCUUCACCAACAUUGAGCUUUCUUUUUCUCAGCUCUGAGUUGUGCACUUGUGGCUCAGAGAUCUCUCAGACCUUUUCCAUCAGCAGUGCUAUCACCAUGCCCCUCCGCUGUCUAUGCCAUUGUCACCUUUACAUCUGGUGGUUACUCAAAUCAGAACAUCUCGGUUGCUUCUCAGGUAUUCACCUGAGUGACUCAGCAGCUCUCUGAGGGUCAACCAAUCGCAGGACGCCUGCAGUCAAAUCUCACAGAGGUGCCACAGAUCUUAAUUAUAUCUUCUGCAAAGUACUUGGAGGUUCUCUGGCAAAAGUGAUUUCAGUAUGCAAAAUACUGCAGCAAAAUAAACGAAUCUAGAUAGCAGAGGUCAGUCCUGUCUGUCUACGUUAACCUAACAGCCUGUGCUUUUCUUCUUCCCUUCACCAUUUGCCAGAACAGAUACGGUUUGUUUUUCCUUUGAUGCUGUGGAGUUGACAGUGACAGAUUACUUUCAGUUUGUCAUCUUGAACCUUCCCACUUUCCUGGUGAUGUGACCCAUGACAUGAGGGAGAUCUGUAAUCACGGACAGCUGCCUCUCUGAGCAACAUCCAGAUACCGCAGGAGAGGUGGGAUGGGACCACACAGAAGUCAUUGUCUUCCCAGCACAGCCGCUGGGUCCCAGGGAUGGAUGGUGAGAAAUAAAUGUGUGAGGAGCAAGGGUUUUCCAAAAAGUACGUGUGUGCUAACAUUUUCAUAAGGCAGCUCACAACUCUAAAGAGUCUCAUUUUCUCAACAGGGUGUUUCAGGAUAUUUUGAAUGUAGAAAAGAAGAGACUGUCUCCAAUGGUGGGGUCCCUGUGUAGCACGAACUCAGUUUUUGUGAUAUUUUAGCAUCAGUCUGUGCCACUGGGAAUACUAAUAUUUUUGUGUUCAACCACCAUUAAGACCAUCAUCAGCAAAUUUGCUGAUAACACCAAGUUGGGAGGGAGUGUCGACCUGCUGGAAGGCAGGAGGGCUCUGCAGAAGGAUCUGGAUAGACUGGAAAAAUGGGCUGAUUCCAAUGGGAUGAAGUUCA
Long non-coding RNA from Columba livia (rock pigeon), 2922 nucleotides. RefSeq lists it as uncharacterized. The transcript is spliced from 9 exons. The record is from RefSeq and is a predicted model, not a curated record. Lineage: Eukaryota; Metazoa; Chordata; Aves; Columbiformes; Columbidae.